Long non-coding RNA from Falco peregrinus (peregrine falcon), 1561 nucleotides. RefSeq lists it as uncharacterized. Lineage: Eukaryota; Metazoa; Chordata; Aves; Falconiformes; Falconidae. The transcript is spliced from 3 exons. The record is from RefSeq and is a predicted model, not a curated record.
CAAAAUAAACCCCAAACUGUAUCUCCUGAGGGUACCUUCCUGGCCCCAGAAGGGGAAAUACUCUGCUGAUACGAACACAAACAUUGUAUUAGCCUAGACAAAGGAAGAAAUCAUGCAGAAUCCAUUAAAGCAGCCACAAGUAAUGAAUCUGGUUAGUUUUUAUGUGUUAAUUGUACUUCUGUUAAAUUCUUUUAGAGACCAGGAUAAGUUUAUGGGUUCUAUCCUCAUUUAAUGAUAAUUCUGCUAUUCCUAUCUUACAGGAAAGAUGUUCAGAACAUUGUGCAAGUGGAGCUAUUUUCCCCGUGAGCUACUUAAGAAAAAACACAUGAAAAAACCAUGCAGAAUAUCAGUAUUUACUUGUGCUCAUGAAGAGGUGCUCAUGCUUCAUCCUUUCCAGCUAGGCAAAGAAAUUUGUUGAAUUCUACCACGUAUUAUUCCAAGACAUUUAGAGCAGAUUAAAGGUAAAGCAUAGACCUGUAGAAACUCAUAUUUCCUAUGGAAUGUUAAACAGAAUUGUCUCCAUUUGUAAUAGAUAAACUGUACUAAUCACCCUGGUGUAAAAUACAAAGAGGUCAACAAUGCAUCCCUUCAGCUCACCAUUAUUUAAAAGGUGUUUGAGUUUCCCUAUUAAGUUUUCAAAGGCCAACAUCUGCUGAUGCUCAGAAAUGGCGGAUGUGGUGAGGAAGGCUGUAUGGAGUGUGAAGUGAAAACACAACCAUAUAUUCCAUGCAACACAGUACUAGGAAACUAUAGCACAACCAGACUCCAAAGAGCUAUUUUCCCAUUCAUCCCAUUUCUGUUAUUGACGGCAGGAAUAUUCCUGAGAACAGCGAUGCAAACUUCUCUUUCAUUUAGUUCAUUUUUUGGUUACAAAAUACAUGUAUAAACAGCAGAUUUUGAAAACAGCAUAUCACUAUGCAUUUGCAGUCAUGCAAACGCCAAAGGAGACACUACAGUGGGAAAAUUACGUUAUUAAGAUUGAAGGCUUUCAUUUGCAUGUUAUUGUCCUUGCUGCUGUUUCACUGUUUAAAGCCACAAACCAGAUGCCCUGGCACUCGGCUGCUAACGCCGCUCUUGUUUGCACGGAGGCUAGUUUUGACGGCGUUUAACUUGCUGUCUACAGCUUAACAAAUCAGCGCCAUUCAUGAGCUUAAGUAAACUGAGCUGAUUUAUAAAUUGAUAGACCUGACCCUGCAUCAUAAGAAGUGAGAUAGUUUUACCCAAGUUAUUAGAAGCUUUUCAGCUGGAUAUCAGCACCAUGUUCUUUUUGACCCAGUCCUGCCUAGGACCAGGAAGUGCAGCUGUCAAUAACUUCCCUUGGAUAAUAUGAACGUGUCCUAGAAUAGUGAAGCAUGUGUGUCUGCCCUCGCUGUCCCCCUUCAACGUUUGCAGUGAUCUACAAGAGCGCAUGUGAAUCUGGACCGCAGGUCAAUGUCAGCUUUCUUAAAUGUACAAAAAAGGAGCACGGACCUCAUCACACACACUGAGCUGAGGUUAUUUCGAACGUCAGGGCAACAGGAUGUUUGAAUGGAGAGCUGCCAGCACCACGGCUGGAGCAGGA